ACGGCUCAGUAACACGUGGAUAACCUACCCUGCGGUGGGAAAUAACCCCGGGAAACUGGGGAUAAUGUCCCAUAGAUUACGGAUACUGGAAUGUUCUGUAGUCCAAAGAUUUAUCGCCACAGGAUGGGUCUGCGGCCGAUUAGGUUGUUGUUGGGGUAACGGCCCAACAAGCCUUUGAUCGGUACGGGUUGUGGGAGCAAGAGCCCGGAGAUGGAUUCUGAGACACGAAUCCAGGCCCUACGGGGCGCAGCAGGCGCGAAAACUUUACAAUGCGGGAAACCGUGAUAAGGGGACACCGAGUGCCAGCAUCAUAUGCUGGCUGUCCAGGUGUGUAAAAUACACCUGUCAGCAAGGGCCGGGCAAGACCGGUGCCAGCCGCCGCGGUAACACCGGCGGCCCGAGUGGUGAUCGUGAUUAUUGGGUCUAAAGGGUCCGUAGCCGGUUUGGUCAGUCCUCCGGGAAAUCUGACGGCUCAACCGUUAGGCUUUCGGGGGAUACUGCCAGGCUUGGAACCGGGAGAGGUAAGAGGUACUACAGGGGUAGGAGUGAAAUCUUGUAAUCCCUGUGAGACCACCUGUGGCGAAGGCGUCUUACCAGAACGGGUUCGACGGUGAGGGACGAAAGCUGGGGGCACGAACCGGAUUAGAUACCCGGGUAGUCCCAGCCGUAAACGAUGCUCGCUAGGUGUCAGGCAUGGCGCGACCGUGUCUGGUGCCGCAGGGAAGCCGUGAAGCGAGCCACCUGGGAAGUACGGCCGCAAGGCUGAAACUUAAAGGAAUUGGCGGGGGAGCACAAU
RNAcentral lists this ribosomal RNA (796 nucleotides) under uncultured archaeon. RNAcentral's name for it is "bacterial SSU rRNA". It matches the Rfam family "Archaeal small subunit ribosomal RNA", at positions 85 to 882 of the family's 1478-position model. The record is from RNAcentral.